RNAcentral lists this ribosomal RNA (414 nucleotides) under uncultured microorganism. RNAcentral describes it as "bacterial SSU rRNA". It matches the Rfam family "Bacterial small subunit ribosomal RNA", at positions 9 to 426 of the family's 1533-position model. The record is from RNAcentral.
GAGUUUGAUCCUGGCUCAGGAUGAACGCUGGCGGCGUGCUUAACACAUGCAAGUCGAACGGAAAGGCCCUUGCUUGCAAGGGUGCUCGAGUGGCGAACGGGUGAGUAACACGUAGGUGAUCUGCCUUUCACUUCGGGAUAAGCUUGGGAAACUGGGUCUAAUACCGGAUAUUCACGGCACCGUGGUUGGUGUGGUGGAAAGCUUUUGCGGUGGGAGAUGAGCUUGCGGCCUAUCAGCUUGUUGGUGGGGUAAUGGCCUACCAAGGCGGCGACGGGUAGCCGGCCUGAGAGGGUGUGCGGCCACAUUGGGACUGAGAUACGGCCCAGACUCCUACGGGAGGCAGCAGUGGGGAAUUUGCACAAUGGGCGGAAGCCUGAUGCAGCGACGCCGUGUGGGGAUGAAGGCCUCGGUUGU